This 87-nucleotide transfer RNA is filed under the name Acidimicrobiaceae bacterium. RNAcentral describes it as "tRNA-Leu". It matches the Rfam family "tRNA". From Rfam's summary of the family: Transfer RNA (tRNA) molecules are approximately 80 nucleotides in length. Their secondary structure includes four short double-helical elements and three loops (D, anti-codon, and T loops). The record is from RNAcentral. Lineage: Bacteria; Bacillati; Actinomycetota; Acidimicrobiia; Acidimicrobiales; Acidimicrobiaceae. RNAcentral also lists the same sequence under 2 other names.
GUCGGAGUGGCGGAAUAGGCAGACGCGCUAGCUUGAGGGGCUAGUGAACGUAAGUUCGUGGGGGUUCAAGUCCCCCCUCCGACACCA